This 324-nucleotide ribosomal RNA is filed under the name uncultured Arthrobacter sp. RNAcentral's name for it is "bacterial SSU rRNA". It matches the Rfam family "Bacterial small subunit ribosomal RNA", at positions 1058 to 1382 of the family's 1533-position model. Lineage: Bacteria; Bacillati; Actinomycetota; Actinomycetes; Micrococcales; Micrococcaceae. The record is from RNAcentral.
GCUCGUGUCGUGAGAUGUUGGGUUAAGUCCCGCAACGAGCGCAACCCUCGUCCUAUGUUGCCAGCGGGUCAUGCCGGGGACUCAUGGGAGACUGCCGGGGUCAACUCGGAGGAAGGUGGGAUGACGUCAAAUCAUCAUGCCCCUUAUGUCUUGGGCUUCACGCAUGCUACAAUGGUCGGUACAGAGGGUUGCCAACCCGCGAGGGGAAGCUAAUCCCACAAAGCCGAUCGUAGUCCGGAUCGCAGUCUGCAACUCGACUGCGUGAAGUCGGAAUCGCUAGUAAUCGUGGAUCAGCAUGUCACGGUGAAUACGUUCCCGGGUCUU